GUGCCAGCCGCCGCGGUAAUACGUAGGCAGCAAGCGUUGUUCGGAGUUACUGGGCGUAAAGAGUGCGUAGGUGGUGCCCUAAGUCUGUUGUGAAAUCUCCCGGCUUAACUGGGAGGGUGCGGUGGAAACUGGGGUGCUUGAGUGUGGGAGAGGUAAGCGGAAUUCCUGGUGUAGCGGUGAAAUGCGUAGAUAUCAGGAGGAACACCGGUGGUGUAGACGGCUUACUGGACCACGACUGACACUGAGGCACGAAAGCGUGGGUAGCAAACAGGAUUAGAAACCCCCGUAGUCC
Molecule: ribosomal RNA, 292 nt
Filed under: uncultured bacterium
Lineage: Bacteria
Description: partial 16S ribosomal RNA
Rfam family: Bacterial small subunit ribosomal RNA
Source: RNAcentral